ACGUAGGGGGCCAGCGUUGUUCGGAAUUACUGGGUGUAAAGGGUUCGUAGGCGGUGUGGCAAGUUGGGAGUGAAAUCUCUUUGCUCAACCCAGAUUCUGCUUCCAAAACUUCUUUGCUUGAGUGUGAGAGAGGCUCGUGGAAUUGCAGGUGUAGCGGUGAAAUGCGUAGAUAUCUGCAGGAACACCCGUGGCGAAAGCGGCGAGCUGGAUCACUACUGACGCUGAGGAACGAAAGCUAGGGGAGCAAACAGGA
This 253-nucleotide ribosomal RNA is filed under the name uncultured prokaryote. RNAcentral's name for it is "partial 16S ribosomal RNA". It matches the Rfam family "Bacterial small subunit ribosomal RNA", at positions 525 to 777 of the family's 1533-position model. The record is from RNAcentral.